GGUCCUAAAUUAAGUAACGCCUUAUCCACAAAAGUAUUGCCUAUGACACAAGAAAUUGUAGGACAACCGGGGUCCUUAUAUUUCAUGGGAAUUUGAUUCGAGAGAAUCGGGCUUACUUGCGAGGUCAAAAAGGCUUUCUUUGGAACAUGAGUGGUUCUCUUAUGGGUACACAAAUCUUUUAGACACUUGGCAUAAGAAGGAACUUGUUGAAUGGCAUCUAAAAGAGGAAUGUUUAUCUUGACUUGUUUAAAAACCUCUAGAAUUUGUUCCAUUUGGGCCGAUUGUUUAGGGCGAAUGAGUCUUUGUGGGUAAGGAACCCUUGGCUUGUAAACUUCUUCGUUGGGCUUUUGAGAAAUGGGCC
This 361-nucleotide long non-coding RNA is filed under the name Daucus carota (carrot). RNAcentral describes it as "long non-coding RNA (DCAR_LNC007485)". The record is from RNAcentral. Lineage: Eukaryota; Viridiplantae; Streptophyta; Magnoliopsida; Apiales; Apiaceae.